AGACCCCGCCCCGGCCUGUCCCCGGCGAUUCCUGCGGACCCAGCUGCGGCGACGCCAGGAGACCCCAAGCUGCAUCGCCGAGUGGAAGCAACUAGAACUCCAGGGCUGUGAAAGCCACAGGUGGGGGCUGAGCGAGGCGUGGCCUCAGGAGCGGAGGACCCCCCCCACUCCCCCACGAGCGCCGCAGUCCACCGUAGCGGGUGGAGCCCGCCUUGGUGCGCAGUUGGAAAACCUCGGAGCCCCGCUGGAUCUCCUGGCUGCCACCCGCACCCCCCACCAGCCUAGGCCCCACCGUAGAGAUGCCUUCUUCGGUGACGGCGCUGGGUCAGGCCAGGUCCUCCGGCCCCGGGAUGGCCCCGAGCGCCUGCUGCUGCUCCCCUGCAGCCGUGCAGAGGAGGCUGCCCAUCCUGGCGUGGCUGCCCAGCUACUCCCUGCAGUGGCUGAAGAUGGAUUUCGUCGCCGGCCUCUCAGUUGGCCUCACUGCCAUUCCCCAGGCGCUGGCCUAUGCUGAAGUGGCUGGACUCCCGCCCCAGUAUGGCCUCUACUCUGCCUUCAUGGGCUGCUUCGUGUAUUUCUUCCUGGGCACCUCCCGGGAUGUGACUCUGGGCCCCACCGCCAUUAUGUCCCUCCUGGUCUCCUUCUACACCUUCCAUGAGCCCGCCUACGCUGUGCUGCUGGCCUUCCUGUCCGGCUGCAUCCAGCUGGCCAUGGGGCUCCUGCGUUUGGGGUUCCUGCUGGACUUCAUUUCCUACCCCGUCAUUAAAGGCUUCACCUCUGCUGCUGCCGUCACCAUCGGCUUUGGACAGAUCAAGAACCUGCUGGGACUACAGAACAUCCCCAGGCCGUUCUUCCUGCAGGUGUACCACACCUUCCUCAGGAUUGCAGAGACCAGCGUAGGUGACGCCGUCCUGGGGCUGGUCUGCAUGCUGCUGCUGCUGGUGCUGAAGCUGAUGCGGGACCACGUGCCUCCCGUCCACCCCGAGAUGCCCCCUGGUGUGCGGCUCAGCCGUGGGCUGGUCUGGGCUGCCACGACAGCUCGCAACGCCCUGGUGGUGUCCUUCGCGGCCCUGGUUGCGUACUCCUUCGAGGUGACUGGAUACCAGCCUUUCAUCCUAACAGGGGAGACAGCUGAGGGGCUCCCUCCAGUCCAGAUCCCGCCCUUCUCAGUGACCACAGCCAACGGGACGAUCUCCUUCACCGAGAUGGUGCAGGACAUGGGAGCCGGGCUGGCCGUGGUGCCCCUGAUGGGCCUCCUGGAGAGCAUUGCGGUGGCCAAAGCCUUCGCAUCUCAGAAUAAUUACCGCAUCGAUGCCAACCAGGAGCUGCUGGCCAUCGGUCUCACCAACAUGUUGGGCUCCCUCGUCUCCUCCUACCCGGUCACAGGCAGCUUCGGACGGACAGCCGUGAACGCUCAGUCGGGGGUGUGCACCCCGGCGGGGGGCCUGGUGACGGGAGUGCUGGUGCUGCUGUCUCUGGACUACCUGACCUCACUGUUCUACUACAUCCCCAAGUCUGCCCUGGCUGCCGUCAUCAUCAUGGCCGUGGCCCCGCUGUUCGACACCAAGAUCUUCAGGACGCUCUGGCGUGUUAAGAGGCUGGACCUGCUGCCCCUGUGCGUGACCUUCCUGCUGUGCUUCUGGGAGGUGCAGUACGGCAUCCUGGCCGGGGCCCUGGUGUCUCUGCUCAUGCUCCUGCACUCUGCAGCCAGGCCUGAGACCAAGGUGUCAGAGGGGCCGGUUCUGGUCCUGCAGCCGGCCAGCGGCCUGUCCUUCCCUGCCGCGGAGGCUCUGCGGGAGGAGAUCCUAAGCCAAGCCCUGGAAGUGUCCCCGCCACGCUGCCUGGUCCUGGAGUGCACCCAUGUCUGCAGCAUCGACUACACUGUGGUGCUGGGACUCGGCGAGCUCCUCCAGGACUUCCAGAAGCAGGGCGUCGCCCUGGCCUUUGUGGGCCUGCAGCAUUCCCCUGGGGCUGCGUUUCUUCUCACCAUUCACUGGUAUGGAGGUGAAGCCAUACCUCUCCGGGAGACUCUGAGAUGGCAUGUCUGCCAGGCUGCCGACCCGUGUGCUACAGAGGAACAUCCCUGCCCUGGCUAAAGUCUGUCUGUCCCUCAGGUCCCCGUUCUCCGUGUCCUGCUGUCCGCUGACCUGAAGGGGUUCCAGUACUUCUCUACCCUGGAAGAAGCAGAGAAGCACCUGAGGCAGGAGCCAGGGACCCAGCCCUACAACAUCAGAGAAGACUCCAUUCUGGACCAAAAGGUUGCCCUGCUCAAGGCAUAAUGGGGCCACCCGUGGGCAUCCACAGUUUGCAGGGUGUUCCGGAAGGUUCUUGUCACUGUGAUUGGAUGCUGGAUGCCGCCUGAUAGACAUGCUGGCCUGGCUGAGAAACCCCUGAGUAGGUAACCCGGGGAAGAGAAGGAAGCCAGGCCUGGAGGUCCACGGCGGUGGGAGUGGGGCUCACUGGCUUCCUGUGAGAUGACUGGAAAAUGACCUCGCUGCUGUUCCCUGGCAUGACCCUCUUUGGAAGAGUGGUUUGGAGAGAGCCUUCUAGAAUGACAGACUGUGCGAGGAAGCAGGGGCAGGGGUUUCCGGCCCGGGCUGUGCGAGGCAUCCUGGGGCUGGCAGCACCUUCCCGGCUCACCAGUGCCACCUGCGGGGGAGGGACGGGGCAGGCAGGAGGCUGGGAGGCGGGUCCACUCCUCUUGUCUGCGGCAUCUGUGCUCUCCGAGAGAAAACCAAGGUGUGCCAAAUGACGUCGUCUCUAUUUAAAAAUAAUUUUGUGUUUUCUAAAUGGAAAAAGUGAUAGCUUUGGUGAUUUUGUAAAAGUCAUAAAUGCUUAUUGUAAAAAAUACAGGAAACCAGCCCUCACCCUGUCCACUUGGGUGAUCAUUCCAGACCCCUCCCCAAACAUGCAUAUAUACCUGUCCGUCAGUGUGUGGAUGUAUGUUUACAGUUCUACAUAAAUGGGAUCAUUUUAUACAUGGUGCUCUGGAACCCACAUUUUUCAUGCAGUCAUUUGCAGUGAAUUAUUUAUUGUGAUAAUAAAUAGCAUUAGAAUACAA
RNA transcript from Pan troglodytes (chimpanzee), 3058 nucleotides. It is a transcript of the gene named solute carrier family 26 member 11, with no coding region annotated. Lineage: Eukaryota; Metazoa; Chordata; Mammalia; Primates; Hominidae. The record is from RefSeq and is a predicted model, not a curated record. The transcript is spliced from 18 exons.